Molecule: long non-coding RNA, 550 nt
Organism: Dromaius novaehollandiae (emu)
Lineage: Eukaryota; Metazoa; Chordata; Aves; Casuariiformes; Dromaiidae
Exons: 4
Source: RefSeq, a predicted model, not a curated record
GCAUGGGGGGCUGGCAGCUGCCCGUCCCCGCGAGCUGCACGCUUCCCCGUGGCUGCCGAGCCCCGCGUCACACAGAUAAGAGUUGCUCUGUGGAGGUGCCUGCAUCUGUUUCCACUGAGUGCCGGUUGAGCGGAGACCUUGGAUUUCACCACCUUAAGACUGGUGAGACGAGCUUCUUGGCCAGUCAUCUUCACGUCAGUAAAGGUGAAGAAAUCAUUCCAAAGCAGAGUUCAUCCUCCCUGCCCACCAGAUCCUCUCUCAAAUGAGGAGAUAUGGAGGGAGGGCUCCCUCCCACCACAGGGGCAGGUGGAACAGAGGACAAGCAAGCAGCCGUGGAGACCACUUAUUUCCAGAAGGCAGCACCUUGCUUCUAGUUCCACCAAUACCUAUGGGGAGUCUUAGACUACGGAUGCUUGAAGAAUUCAGUAUUGUUCCAAAAGAUAUAUGAACUGAAUCUCCUAAUUCUUUGCUGAACAAACCAGAAACCAGAUGUGUUCUUCAAACAUUCUGAUGAUACAUUUUUCCAGCAAGGAUGUAUACAUAAAAAAUU